GGCCGCGGGAAUUCGAUUCAGGCCUAACACAUGCAAGUCGAGCGAGGGGAGAGGCUUCGGCCUUGAACCUAGCGGCGGACGGGUGAGUAACGCGUGAGGAACCUGUCCCAAACAGGGGGAUACCAGAUGGAAACAUCUGCUAAUACCGCAUAAGACCACAGAGCCACAUGGUUCAGGGGUCAAAGGAGCAAUCCGGUUUGGGGUGGCCUCGCGUCCGAUUAGCUAGUUGGUGAGGUAACGGCCCACCAAGGCGACGAUCGGUAGCCGACCUGAGAGGGUGAUCGGCCACAUUGGAACUGAGACACGGUCCAAACUCCUACGGGAGGCAGCAGUGGGGAAUAUUGGGCAAAGGGCGAAAGCCUGACCCAGCAACGCCGCGUGAGGGAAGAAGGUUUUCGGAUGUAAACCUCUGUCCUAAGUGACGAACAAA
RNAcentral lists this ribosomal RNA (430 nucleotides) under uncultured bacterium. RNAcentral describes it as "bacterial SSU rRNA". It matches the Rfam family "Bacterial small subunit ribosomal RNA", at positions 36 to 453 of the family's 1533-position model. The record is from RNAcentral.